ACAAUGUGAAGCUACGUGCAGCGCAGAAGUUUCUUGGCGGUGGAGAUAAGGUGAAAGUCACUUUGCGUUUCCGUGGACGUGAAAUGGCUCACCAGGACCUUGGUCUUGGCAUGCUGCAGCGUUUUUCGGGGGAUCUUGAAGAUCUUGCCAAAACUGAACAGAUGCCGAAGAUGGAAGGCCGCAUAAUGAUUAUGGUGCUGGCGCCGCGUUAACCCGCGGCGUUUUGCCUUUCCAAGCAAGAGGGAAUGCCAUGGCAGCCGGGAAUGAUCUUCUGAUCGUCGGGGUCGAUGACGACCCUAAAAGUCUCGUGCUUCUGAAACGAA
Molecule: unclassified non-coding RNA, 323 nt
Filed under: Thalassospira permensis
Lineage: Bacteria; Pseudomonadati; Pseudomonadota; Alphaproteobacteria; Rhodospirillales; Thalassospiraceae
Description: Long range pseudoknot
Source: RNAcentral